RNAcentral lists this long non-coding RNA (510 nucleotides) under Hordeum vulgare. RNAcentral describes it as "long non-coding RNA (HVUL_LNC011617)". Lineage: Eukaryota; Viridiplantae; Streptophyta; Magnoliopsida; Poales; Poaceae. The record is from RNAcentral.
GGUGUUAUUGACAUAGAAAAUGAUAAUAGAACCUGGUCACAAAUUAGAGAUGGUUGGGCUGGGCAUAUGUUUGCCAAUAGGGGUAAUUCUCAUGUUUAGAGCUCAAGUGUUGGGCUGGGCAUAUGUUUGCCAUUAGUGAUGUAAUAUGCAUUCUAAGAUGUACUAUGUAUUAUGUAUUCUUUUAUGUCACUAUUUUAAUUCCACUUUAAUUCUUUUAGGUUUCAGCUCCAUUUUAAUUCUUUUAUGUCACUAUUUCAGCUCCAUUUUAAUUCUUUUAUGUCACUAUUUCAGCUCCAUUUUAAAUCUUUUAUGUCACUAUUUCAGCUCCAUUUUAAAUACUUUAUAUACUCUUACGUAAUCAGAUUCCUUUGUUUGCUUUGUACAUAGAAGUGAUGGCUGAGAUGGGGGCUGAUGGUGGGCAUGGUGGUGGGAAUCACCCAUUGCGUUGGACAUCUCCAAUGUCUGGUUUCAUGUUACGUCGAUUUGUAGAGCUCAUUGCUAGUGGAGUGA